Molecule: ribosomal RNA, 380 nt
Filed under: uncultured eukaryote
Lineage: Eukaryota
Description: partial 18S ribosomal RNA
Rfam family: Eukaryotic small subunit ribosomal RNA
Source: RNAcentral
CAAUAGCGUAUAUUAAAGUUGUUGCAGUUAAAAAGCUCGUAGUUGGAUUUGUGGCUGUCACGGGCGGCCUAUCACUUAGUGUUAGUGCUUGCCUGUGUCGCCAUCCUUGGGUGGAGCCCGUGUGGCAUUAGGUUGUCGUGCGGGGGACGCCCAUCGUUUACUGUGAGAAAAUUAGAGUGUUCAAAGCAGGCUUAUGCCGUUGAAUAUGUUAGCAUGGAAUAAUAAGAUAGGACCUCGGUACUAUUUUGUUGGUUUGCGCACCGAGGUAAUGAUUAAUAGGGACAGUUGGGGGUAUUCGUAUUUCAUUGUCAGAGGUGAAAUUCUUGGAUUUCUGAAAGACGAACUACUGCGAAAGCAUUUACCAAGGAUGUUUUCAUUAA